Molecule: non-coding RNA, 162 nt
Organism: Caulobacterales bacterium
Lineage: Bacteria; Pseudomonadati; Pseudomonadota; Alphaproteobacteria; Caulobacterales
Source: Rfam
GUCCUGCUGCGGCUCACGUCGGAGGCAACAUUUCCUCGCGACCUUAAUUCACUCGAAGGGAUCUGUCCCUGUCCGGGCUCGAGGGCCUGGGCAUAUGGAGCCCACCUGGCUACCCAGGUUCGAGAGGAUUUAAACGUCCUUCACGGUUCUUGCGGCGCCGCC